Long non-coding RNA from Talpa occidentalis (Iberian mole), 491 nucleotides. RefSeq lists it as uncharacterized. The transcript is spliced from 3 exons. Lineage: Eukaryota; Metazoa; Chordata; Mammalia; Eulipotyphla; Talpidae. The record is from RefSeq and is a predicted model, not a curated record.
UUGGCAAGGCAGGAGACAAGGACUGGCAGGAGGCGGCAGAGAAGAGGACCUGCCCAGCCUUCCCCAAAAUUUUACAAAUGCUGGAAGAUAAAAGCGCAGAGACCGGCAUGAAUGGAGUGGGUUUUUAAGAGACGGUGUUUAUCAUCAAGAUGCCUCUGAUGUGCGUAAUUUGGAUUCUGAUGCAUUUCUGGGUUGUUUGUUGAAUUAUGCAUCAGCAGCUUCUACUGCCGUAAAAGUGCCACUGUCACGCGGCUGCUCGGAAGCCUACAGCAGCGGAGACAGUUGGGCUCACAGUUUGGAUACUGAGAUCUGGCUUUGAUGAGAGAGAACCAGCAGAGAGAGGGAGGCAAGAAGUGGGGAGAAGGAGCUCCUGGGCAUUUGUGAAUUGGAAUACAUCAAAAUGAUCAACUUCCUUUCUUGCUCAACUCCAAUCCACCUCCCAUCCCAGGAGAAAAAUAAAAUAAAAUUAAGCCACAUCUAGAGAGACAAAC